AUGAGGCCCAGAAUAGGACAGGUGGGCCAUGAGGCCCGCAGGAGGCAGAGCCCUGGCCUCAGGCAGUGCUGGCCCCUGAUGCUGCUGGGCCUGGCUGUGGGCACCCAUGGCCUGUUGUCCUCUACGACAGCACCUCGGAGCAGGGCUCCAAGCUCUGGAGCCCAGACAAGAAAUAGCCCUUGGAGCCUCUGGGAAAGGUUCCUGCUCAGCACUGGCCCCCAGGGGACACGCCCCAGGUGCUGGCCCAGCAUGUUUUGGUUCGAUCUUCAGCAACCGUGGUAUGUGUUCAGCAGCGGGACCCAGCUCAUUGUCCUAGGUCAGCCCAAGUCCGCACCCUUGGUCACUCUGUUCCCUCCAUCCAGUGAGGAGCUCAGCACCAACAAGGCCACACUGGUGUGUCUCAUCAGUGGCUUCUACCCUGGCAAUGUGACGGUGGCUUGGAAGGCAAAUGGCAACCCUGUCACCCAGGGUGUGGAGACCGCCAAGCCCACAAAGCAGAGCAACAACAAGUACACAGCCAGCAGCUACCUGAGCCUGACACCCAACAAGUGGAAAUUUGGCAGCAGCUUUAGCUGCCAGGUGACGCAUGAGGGGAGCACUGUGGAGAAGACAAUGGUCCCCUCAGAGUGUUCCUAGGACCUUGAGCCCCCUACUCUCGGGGGCUGGAGCCUCAGAACCUCUGGGAGGUUCUCCCCUCCCACCUUAGUCAUUCCCAGCCCUGCUCCCUGCACCCAAUCAAUUCUCAAAAUGUUCUUCUUGC
Molecule: non-coding RNA, 760 nt
Organism: Miniopterus natalensis
Lineage: Eukaryota; Metazoa; Chordata; Mammalia; Chiroptera; Miniopteridae
Source: the annotation of a RefSeq genome assembly